Molecule: ribosomal RNA, 245 nt
Filed under: uncultured bacterium
Lineage: Bacteria
Description: partial small subunit ribosomal RNA
Rfam family: Bacterial small subunit ribosomal RNA
Source: RNAcentral
GGAAUCAACGCUGGCGGCGUGCCUAACACAUGCAAGUCGAACGAGAAAGUGGAGCAAUCCAUGAGUAAAGUGGCGCACGGGUGAGUAACACGUGACUAACCUACCCUUGAGUGGGGAAUAACCUAGGGAAACCUGGGCUAAUACCGCAUAACACCUACGGGUCAAAGGAGCAAUUCGCUUAAGGAGGGGGUCGCGGCAGAUUAGCUAGUUGGCGGGGUAAUGGCCCACCAAGGCAGUGAUCUGUA